This 305-nucleotide unclassified non-coding RNA is filed under the name plant metagenome. Its description in RNAcentral is "partial contains 5.8S ribosomal RNA, internal transcribed spacer 2, and large subunit ribosomal RNA". The stretch from base 1 to 105 matches the Rfam family "5.8S ribosomal RNA", at positions 50 to 154 of the family's 154-position model. The record is from RNAcentral.
GAAAUGCGAUAAGUAAUAUGAAUUGCAGAAUUCAGUGAAUCAUCGAAUCUUUGAACGCACAUUGCGCCCGCCAGUAUUCUGGCGGGCAUGCCUGUUCGAGCGUCAUUUCAACCAUCAAGCCCCCGGCUUGUGUUGGGGACCUGCGGCUGCCCGCAGGCCCUGAAAAACAGUGGCGGGCUCGCUGUCACACCGAGCGUAGUAGCAUACAUUCUCGCUCAGGGCGUGCUGCGGGUUCCGGCCGUUAAACGACCUUCAUAACCCAAGGUUGACCUCGGAUCAGGUAGGAAGACCCGCUGAACUUAAGC